This 78-nucleotide transfer RNA is filed under the name Candidatus Bathyarchaeota archaeon. RNAcentral describes it as "tRNA-Arg". It matches the Rfam family "tRNA". From Rfam's summary of the family: Transfer RNA (tRNA) molecules are approximately 80 nucleotides in length. Their secondary structure includes four short double-helical elements and three loops (D, anti-codon, and T loops). The record is from RNAcentral. Lineage: Archaea; Thermoproteati; Candidatus Bathyarchaeota.
GGGCGGGUAGCUCAGUACGGACAGAGCACCGGCCUCCUAAGUCGGCGGUCGUGGGUUCAAAUCCCACCCCGCCCGCCA